GAUGCAGAGAAGAGUCCGGAGAGCGCCGUGACGAAAACGCAGCUCACGUUGGAAGCUGCUGAAAUUGGCGCUUGCUAUAUUAUUUUUUGGAAGCUCAUUAGUUGAUUAGAAGUGUAUGAGAAGUCGAUCUCCAGCGUGUGAUACUAAACAUGCAGAGUUUACGGAUAUUCAUAUGAUCCAAAAAGUUGUGGGUUUAUUUGGUCACCAGCCUCAGAUGCAGAGGAUAAUAACAUGUGGCCUUCUCGGUAUUGAAUAUGACGCAGAGCUAGAUGUGGAUGAUGUGGUUGAUUAUGAAAGCUGGACUCACCGUCGCCACAGCUUUAAUCAACGUUUCGGUCGCGACACAUUAAGUGAAAACCGUACGGGAGCCUCCAGCUCUACUUAUCAGUCCCCUCUACAUUACUACUCUUCAGUUCGUGGCAAAUCCAGCCCGCCAGCUUAUAAAGUUCAGACGAAGGACGGCGAUUCUGAACGAAAAACCCGUUUAUUACAAGAAACUAAAAAGAGCAAAGAAAAGGCGGAGAAAAAGCGGCUUAAGAAACAGAAACAGAAGCAAAGGAAACAAAUGGAGAAAGUGAAACAAAAUCCUGGAGAACCUCAAGAGGGAGACGCUGCGGAAGAAUCGGAGGAGAGUAAAUCUGUCGAUGAUGACGAGAGGAAGAAGAACGUGGCUGCAGCGAAAGACACAGACAGCGACAGCAGCAGCGGACAGGAAUCCAGCGACGAAGACGGCAAAAAUGACUCGCACGAUUUCGAGGAACUGGAUAUGGCGAGUUCUUUUGUGACCAAAGCGGCUCUUAUAGCGCAGCGGAAAUUGGAGCAAAAGCCCAAAUCGGAUAAAAAGGAGAAAAAGAAAACUCCGGAGAAGGAGAAGUCUAAAAGUGUUCCUGUUAAAACGUCUGAGGAUAAAGAGGAUGUGAAGGGGGCGCAGCAAAAGGAUUCCGUCGUCCUCAGCGCUCCUUCUAUAGAAGAUAAUAUAAAAAUAAGUACUGAUCUCGCAAUUAUAGGAAAUAAAUUUGCCAGCACAGGAGACUACGGUAUGGCUGUGAAGUAUUUCACAGAUGCAAUUAAGUACAACCCUAAAGAGUUUAAGUUGUUUGGGAAUCGCUCCUUCUGUUUUGAAAAGACGCAGCAGUAUGAGAAGGCGCUGACGGAUGCAGAGUUGGCGCUCAGCUUUUCUCCAGGAUGGGUGAAAGGUCUCUUUAGAAAAGGCAAAGCUCUAGCAGGUCUAAAGAGAUAUAAAGAGGCCGCUGAUGCCUUCAAGGACGUCCUGAAACGAGAGAGUUCCUAUGCAGAAGCGGCCCAGGAGCUCAUGCGAGUUCAGAUAAUACAACUGAUGGCGUACGGUUUUACCCGAGAGCAGAGCUCUAAUGCUUUAAUCAUUCAUGGUUCUGUAGAUAAAGCCUUAGAGGUUCUGUCUAAAUUACACAGUCCACCAGGAGCCGUUUUAAAUGGACCCCUCCCACCGGCUCAACUAGCAAACGUGACCGGAGUCUCUCCAGUUCUUUCUGCCAAUUCUAGUCCUGCGCCUGUUGCUCCUGCUAAGUCACAUGAUGCAACUAAGAAACCUCUUCUGGACAAACCCUUAGGCCUAGUUCAGAAUAUACCCAAUGUUGACAAUCAGUCCAAACUUGCUUACAACCAGGCUGGGAGGAUAAAUAGCGAUAGAAACCCACCGGAGUUGUUUCCAGUUUGGGUGGGAAACUUGUGUUUUCCAGCAACUGAAGCCAUGAUUAGCAAGCUGUUUAGCAAGGCCGGCCCGGUCUUUAGUGUGAAGCUUCUUACUGUCAAACGUUGUGCCUUUGUGAACUUUACUAAACAAGAGCACUGCGACGAAGCCAUCAGACUCCUUCAUGCCUCUUUGGAAUCUCAAACAAACUCUCAUCAAAAUCAGGUAGGGACUCAACUUGUUCUUUGGCCUGAGAACGAGUAAUCACAGGACAAGAAACUUUGCCAACUUUGCCCCCCUCAGUUUGUACCUCUUCCAAAAGAUGAAACAUCACAGGUAAAUCAGUACCCAAAAUGAUAUCAAAAGGUAGAUUUUCCACCACACCAACAGUCAGCAAAUAUGGUUGAUCAUCAAUAAUGACAGUCACUUCUGCUUUUGGAUAAACAUGACAAUCUCCAUGCACACACAGAAUCUCAGUUUUCUUUUCAUAGUUCACACAUCCAACAGGUACAAGACUCUUUUUUAUAAGUGAUGUGGAACUACCACUGUCUAUUAAUGCAGUCACCCGCUGUCCAUUCACAGUCACAGUUUUAUGAGUUCUAGUUUCAAAGUUUUUGACUGCAGCAUGAUUUUCCACUCUAGGUGCAUAGCAGGACCCAGUAAACUUAGUCCUCUUUAUUGGGCACACUGAAGCCUUGUGGCCCAGCUGCUGACAAUAAUAGCAAAUCAAUGGCUUACCAUUAGAUGGUGGAUUCAGAGAACUGGUGGUACCUUUAACCUCUUGGCUUGGGUCUCUGGCAUAACGUUGAUGUCCAGCCGGUUGAACAGGUCGCGGUACAGGGUGGGAGAAACGUGCUGCUCCUCCUCGCCGUGCGUUCAUGUACUGUAGAGCCAACUUUGCAGCAGUCAGACCAUCCGUAGGUUCAUGUUCCUUCACCCAGGUCCUUACAUCAGAGGGCAGAAUGCUCAGCAGUUGUUCCUGGAUGAUGAGCUCCCCGAUGUCCUCCUUGGAAUGCUGGUCCGGCCGGAUCCAUCGUCGGUAGAGACCUCUAAGGCGGUGGGUUAUGAUCUGCAUGGCAUAAAGAUAGCUGUGAGAUACCCGGACCGCAUUCCUCCAGGGAUGGGCAUCUCCAGGUCUGCGCUCAGAGCUCGAGAUCUACAUGAUGAGAACCUCAG
Molecule: RNA transcript, 2845 nt
Organism: Gambusia affinis (western mosquitofish)
Lineage: Eukaryota; Metazoa; Chordata; Actinopteri; Cyprinodontiformes; Poeciliidae
Exons: 18
Source: RefSeq, a predicted model, not a curated record